RNAcentral lists this ribosomal RNA (1440 nucleotides) under uncultured organism. RNAcentral describes it as "16S ribosomal RNA". It matches the Rfam family "Bacterial small subunit ribosomal RNA". The record is from RNAcentral.
CAGGCUUAACACAUGCAAGUCGAGGGGCAGCAUGGUCUUAGCUUGCUAAGGCCGAUGGCGACCGGCGCACGGGUGAGUAACGCGUAUCCAACCUGCCUUACACUCUUGGACAGCCUUCUGAAAGGGAGAUUAAUACAAGAUGUUAUCAUGAGUAAGCAUUUUCGCAUGAUUAAAGGUUUACCGGUGUAAGAUGGGGAUGCGUUCCAUUAGAUAGUAGGCGGGGUAACGGCCCACCUAGUCUUCGAUGGAUAGGGGUUCUGAGAGGAAGGUCCCCCACAUUGGAACUGAGACACGGUCCAAACUCCUACGGGAGGCAGCAGUGAGGAAUAUUGGUCAAUGGACGAGAGUCUGAACCAGCCAAGUAGCGUGAAGGAUGAAGGUUCUAUGGAUUGUAAACUUCUUUUAUACGGGAAUAAACGAAUCCACGUGUGGAUUUUUGCAUGUACCGUAUGAAUAAGGAUCGGCUAACUCCGUGCCAGCAGCCGCGGUAAUACGGAGGAUCCGAGCGUUAUCCGGAUUUAUUGGGUUUAAAGGGAGCGUAGAUGGGUUGUUAAGUCAGUUGUGAAGGUUUGCGGCUCAACCGUAAAAUUGCAAUUGAUACUGGCAGUCUUGAGUACAGUUGAGGUAGGCGGAAUUCGUGGUGUAGCGGUGAAAUGCUUAGAUAUCACGAAGAACUCCGAUUGCGAAGGCAGCUUACUAACCUGUAACUGACAUUGAUGCUCGAAAGUGUGGGUAUCAAACAGGAUUAGAUACCCUGGUAGUCCACACGGUAAACGAUGAAUACUCGCUGUAGGCGAUAUACAGUCUGCGGCCAAGCGAAAGCAUUAAGUAUUCCACCUGGGGAGUACGCCGGCAACGGUGAAACUCAAAGGAAUUGACGGGGGCCCGCACAAGCGGAGGAACAUGUGGUUUAAUUCGAUGAUACGCGAGGAACCUUACCCGGGCUUAAAUUGCAACCGAAUAUGGCGGAAACGCUAUAGCUAGCAAUAGCGGUUGUGAAGGUGCUGCAUGGUUGUCAUCAGCUCGUGCCGUGAGGUGUCGGCUUAAGUGCCAUAACGAGCGCAACCCUUGCCGAUAGUUACUAACAGGUCAUGCUGAGGACUCUGUCGGGACUGCCAUCGUAAGAUGUGAGGAAGGUGGGGAUGACGUCAAAUCAGCACGGCCCUUACGUCCGGGGCUACACACGUGUUACAAUGGGGGGUACAGAGGGCUGCUACCACGCAAGUGGAUGCCAAUCCCAAAAACCUCUCUCAGUUCGGAUUGAAGUCUGCAACCCGACUUCAUGAAGCUGGAUUCGCUAGUAAUCGCGCAUCAGCCACGGCGCGGUGAAUACGUUCCCGGGCCUUGUACACACCGCCCGUCAAGCCAUGGGAGCCGGGGGUACCUGAAGUGCGUAACCGCAAGGAGCGCCCUAGGGUAAAACUGGUGACUGGGGCUAAG